Molecule: ribosomal RNA, 301 nt
Filed under: uncultured bacterium
Lineage: Bacteria
Description: partial 16S ribosomal RNA
Rfam family: Bacterial small subunit ribosomal RNA
Source: RNAcentral
CAGCAGCCGCGGUAAUGCAGAGGAUGCAAGCGUUAUCCGGAAUGAUUGGGCGUAAAGCGUCUGUAGGUGGCUUUUCAAGUCCGCCGUCAAAUCCCAGGGCUCAACCCUGGACAGGCGGUGGAGACUACCAAGCUGGAGUACGGUAGGGGCAGAGGGAAUUUCCGGUGGAGCGGUGAAAUGCGUUGAGAUCGGGAAGAACACCAACGGCGAAAGCACUCUGCUGGGCCGACACUGACACUGAGAGAUGAAGGCUAGGGGAGCAAAUGGGAUUAGAUACCCCUGUAGUCCCUGUCUCUUAUAC